Molecule: ribosomal RNA, 534 nt
Filed under: uncultured bacterium
Lineage: Bacteria
Description: bacterial SSU rRNA
Rfam family: Bacterial small subunit ribosomal RNA
Source: RNAcentral
AGAGUUUGAUCCUGGCUCAGGAUGAACGCUGGCGGCGUGCCUAAUACAUGCAAGUCGAGCGAACAGAUAAGGAGCUUGCUCCUUUGACGUUAGCGGCGGACGGGUGAGUAACACGUGGGUAACCUACCUAUAAGACUGGGACAACUUCGGGAAACCGGAGCUAAUACCGGAUAAUAUGUUGAACCGCAUGGUUCAAUAGUGAAAGAUGGUUUUGCUAUCACUUAUAGAUGGACCCGCGCCGUAUUAGCUAGUUGGUGAGGUAACGGCUCACCAAGGCAACGAUACGUAGCCGACCUGAGAGGGUGAUCGGCCACACUGGAACUGAGACACGGUCCAGACUCCUACGGGAGGCAGCAGUAGGGAAUCUUCCGCAAUGGGCGAAAGCCUGACGGAGCAACGCCGCGUGAGUGAUGAAGGUCUUAGGAUCGUAAAACUCUGUUAUUAGGGAAGAACAAACGUGUAAGUAACUGUGCACGUCUUGACGGUACCUAAUCAGAAAGCCACGGCUAACUACGUGCCAGCAGCCGCGGUAAU